This is a long non-coding RNA of Manis pentadactyla (Chinese pangolin), 5209 nucleotides long. RefSeq lists it as uncharacterized. Lineage: Eukaryota; Metazoa; Chordata; Mammalia; Pholidota; Manidae. The record is from RefSeq and is a predicted model, not a curated record. The transcript is spliced from 2 exons.
AUGCGGAUCCGCCCACCACCGCCGCCGUCCGGUUUCUACCACGCCAUCCCACUGCCGCAGCUGCGGCUCCGGGGCUGCCGAGUUGGCGUGGUUGGGUUGAGGAUGCUGUGGCUGUGCAGGCCGCUGGGCGGGGUUCGCGUCCUUGCGAACGAUUGUCAGGAGCGCGGGGAGAAAAGGAAGAGGGCGGUGACUGGAAGGGGCUGCUUCCCGAUUUCAGUUCAAUGCAUCAAGUGCUGAGGAUCCUCUGUGUUCCAGCCACCAUGAAGCCAGCACUCCACACCCAAACACUGCUUGUGGCACAGAGCUCAAAAACAACAGGCUGGAACUUGAUGCCAGGGAAGUAAACACAGUUUGUUCAUUUAUAUAUAUGUUUCAAAAUGUCUUCAUUUCCCCACUGAUAGUGCCCAUUCUCUUUUAUGUACCAAAGUUAUAAUUUACUUCAAAUAGCUGAGUCCCUAAGAUUGGACUAAGGACUAUAGGGUGUAAAAAAAAAACAGGUAAAAAUUCUGGUUCCUGUCCAUCAGGACUUUAAAUUCUAAGAUAUAGAUGUAGUAGAAUUAACAUGACAGUAAAGUGCUAGAUUAUGUGAAGCAGAUCUAGAAGACUGUUGAGGACCUAAUGAUGUCAUAUGAGUUUCCUAUUAGAGCUGCAACAAAUUACCACCAAACUUGGUAGCUUAAAACAACACAAAUUUAUUACCUUACAGUUCUGGAGGUUUAGAAGACCAAAAUCAGUCUCAGUAGGCUAAAAUCAAGGUGUCAGCAGCAUUGGUUACUUUUGGAGGCUCUGAGGAAGAUUCCCAUUCCUUUCUUUUCCAGCUUCUAGAGGCUGCCUGUACCACUUGGCUCAUGGCUCCAGUCACAUUGCAUUUUCUCCCCUCUAUGACCAUUGCACAUUGCCUUUAAUCCUACUCUGUUCCUCCAGCCUCCCUCUUCAGAACCCUUGGGACUGAGUCCGCCUGCAUGACUAGAAUAAUCUGCACAUCUCAAGAUCCUUAAUUUAACCACAUCUUCAAAGUUCCUUUUGACAUGUAAGGAAACAUUCACAGAUUCUGGGGAAUUGAAAGUGGACACCUUUGAAGAGCUGCUAUUCAGCCAACCACAGAUAAGCACUUGUGUAGUGCACAACUGAAGUAACUAGGGGAAUUUUUGAAACUUAAUAGAGGAAAUGAACUUAAGCCAUACCCUGAAGGACAGGUCAAAUGUAAUAUGCAGAGAAAAACUAGUAAAACUUCCCAACAGAAAAAAAACAUAAGUAGGAAAAAUGUACUUCAGACUGAAGGAUCUAAAUAAGUUUGGCAAAAAACUGAUAUCCAGAAAGUUAAACACUGUAUGUAUUCAUAGCAAAAGGAAAAUAAGUUCAUUGGAUUUCAAGGAUCUUGAAAUCCAAAUGAAGAACAACAAAUAUAAAACUGCAAUAAAUACAUCAAAACCAUUUACCCACCUUUCAAUUUUGCUGUUUUCCUUAAAUUUGCUAUAUCGUUUAUUUUUGCUAACUGAAAGGGAGUGGGUAAGUAGGAGGUUUAAGUAAAAAAAAAAUUGUUAAGACACACAUAUUUUCUAUUCCUUUUAUUGAUUAGGGUGUCCUAUAUUUAGAAUGUGCUCAAAUUUGAUAAAAUCUACUCCUAGUUUGACCUACUUCUCUCACAGGAUUUGCUUUCCCAUUUCCCUUUCUCUCCAUCCUUGUCCAGAAGGAGAAGAAAGCAGGGGUGGGGGGCACAAAAAUAUCUGAGUGAAAAAGAUUUACAGACCAGGGGCUGCAGAGAAAAGGGAUCAGAAAAGGGAAGCUAUACAGGAGAAAGAUGUUAUAGCCCAUAUCAUUACACUUCUAGCAGAUUAAAGUGUUGAAAAUUUGAACACAUUCAUAUAGGUUGAUGUGCUUGCAAAAUAAUAGAGGAAGGAAAGGAACUGAAGGUAGAAAAUCAGAGAAGUUGGCAUACUAAAGAAAAAGUUUACCAUGGUUUUUGCCCAUGGUUAACCAACCCGAAAAGGUUUCUCAGGCAAUAUUAACCACUCUUCUUUUCUUGUGUUUACAUUAGAAAUAUUCUUUCAUGUUAGCAAAGUGCUAAAAUACUUCCACCCAAUGCAACUCUGCUACACUCUCUAUCAUUCCUUCCUUGCAUUAUGUAAAAAAAAAUUUUUACAUGGAUUAGUUCACCAACAUAUUUUUUUUAACUUGCUACCUAGAAGUUUGUGAAAUACAUGCAGAGGUCAAAGCAAUGGCUUUGGAAGUUUUUUAGUAGACUUUAUUUUUUAGAGCAUUUUUAGGUUCGUAGCAAAAUUGAGAGGUUACAGAGAUUUCCACAGGCAUAGUCUCUCCCAUUAUCAAAAUCCCUCACCAGAGUGGUACAUAUAUUAUAAUUGAUGAACCCAUACUGACACAUCUCCUAAACUCAGCAUUUAAUUAGCGCUCCCUCUUCGUGUUGUGUGUUCUAUGGGACUGGACAAACAUAUAAUGACAGGUAUCUACCACUAUAGUAUCAUACUGAGUAGUUUCACUGCCCUAAAAAUCCUCUUUACUCUGCCUUUUCAUCCCUCGCUCUCCCCUAAUCCCUGGCAAUCAGUUCUUUUUACUCUGUAGUUUUGGAUUUUCCAAAACGUCAUAUAUUUGGAAUUAUACAGACAUCUCACCAAAGAAGAUAUAUAGAUGGCAAACAAACAUGAAAAGAUGUUCCACAUAUGUGUCAUCAGAAAAUACAAAGGAAUUGGCUCCUUUUCAGAUUGGCUUCUUUCACUUAGUAAUAUGCAUUCAAGAUUCUUCCAUGUCUUUUUGUGGUUUGAUGGCUCAUUUCCUUUUGACAUAGAGUAAUAUUCCAUUGUCUAUAUGUACCAGCAUUUAUCGUUUCACUGCUAAAGGACCUCUUGGUUGCUUCCAAGUUUUGGCAAUUAUGACUAAAGCUGAUACACACAUCCAAGUGCAGGUUUUUAUGUAUACAUAAGUUUUCAACUCCUUUGGGUAAAUAUCCAUGAGCAAAACUGCUGAAUCCUAUGGUAAUACCAGAGUAUGUUUAUUUUUGUAAGAAACCACCAAUCUGUCUUCCAAAGUGGCUAUGCCAUUUUACAUUCUCACCAGCAAUGAAUGAAAGUUCUGGUGCUCAAUAUCCUCAAAAGCAUUUGGUAUUGUCACUUUUCUGGAUUUUGUCCUUCUAAUACUUGUGUAGUGGUAUCUCGUGGUUGCUUUAAUUUGUAUUUCCUGAUGACACAUAUGUGGAACAUCUUUUCAUAUGUUUGUUUGCCAUCUGUAUAUCUUCUUUGGUGAGAUGUCAUCAUCUUUGGCCCACUUUUUAAUCAGGUUGUUUGUUUUCCUGCUGAGUUUUAAGAGUUCUUUGUAUAUUUUGGGGAACAGUCCUUCAUCAUAUAAGUCUUUUUGCAAAUAACUUCUCCCAGUCUGUGGCUUGUCUUCUCAUUCUCUUGGUAAAACUUUAAAAAUGAAAACUUGAAGAGAAUGUAGAGGAAAGUGUGUAUCCAUGAAAAGAGGAGAAAGAAGUCUUCCACAAAGGCACCUAAUCAGUUUUGACAUUUUUAAGUAGGGGCACCUUUCUGAAGUAUGCAUCAGUGGAAAUAGCAAAGGAUUUGAUGUCAAAAGACAUGUUUCAAUCAUAGCUAAGGCAUUUAUUAGCUGUAUUAGGAUUUUUUGGUUGCAAAUGAAGAAGCUUAAACCUGCCUAAGCAAAAUAAGAAAUUUGUUGACUCACUGAACUUGAAAAUCUAAGAGUUGAUUUGGCUUCAGAGAUAGCUGUAUCUAUUUCCUCAAAUUGAAUCAGGAAUAUCUCUCUCUCUCUCUCUCUCUUGUUCUCCUUGGCUUCCCUCUGUAUUGACUUCAGUCCAGCAGCUCUCUCUGGAAAAUAGCUAUUUUUCAUGGUCCUUAAAGCUGCCAAGUAAAGCCAACUCACUCCUACAAUUCAUCUAUUUCUAUCUCUUAAAAAAAAAACUCAAAUUACUUGAAUCACAGGCCUACCUGUACACCAGUCUCUGCAUCCAGGGGAUAUAGAGGGUCCUGAGGGGCCAGUGUGGGUCACAUGUAACAGAGAGACUGAGCCCCUUACUGACAGGCCUGCUAGGAGCCACAGAAAAGCACAGAGGUAGUCCCUUAAAGGAAAAUCAGAGUCCUGUUAACAAAGGAGGAAGGAAAUUGGCCCAACCAAAGCAAAAGGUAUCAACACUAUCAGUUGCAAAAUUUUAGACAAGUCACUUAACCUCUUUGAGCCUCUGGUUUUUUCCAUCAGCAAAGAGGCAGGAGGAUGGUAAUACCAGACCCAUUACUUGACAUGGUUCUUGUGAGAGUCAAACACUCAAUAAAACAUAUGAAAAGGAUCUGUAAGCUGUAAAGCACUAUGACAAAUAAUAGCAGCCUCUAAAUGCCAGAAUAAAUAUUAUUUCUUUUACUAGUGCCUCAGUUACAGAUACUCACCAACCUUAAUUUUGUUUCUUAAAUAAGCUUUAGUUUUAGUCACCCUUCCUUAGAAGGAAAAGAAAAGAAUUUUAUCACACAGGCUGCCUCAUCUUUUGGUCGGGGAUGUGGAUGAAGAGAGCUCCUGUGACAGAUCACCUCAUGCGUGCUGCCCAGAAAAUUCCUGACUAGAGGGAUUUCUAGGGGUGGUAGGAACUGCAACUAAGUUAAGUAUUAAUCCCCAGUUUGGUGACUUGGCCCAGCAGAAGUGACUCCAUUUUGAGACUGUGGUUUUCUUUUUAUAAAAGACUAAAUGACUUAAAUGAGUAUCAGAGAGCUUGGCAGUUAUGUUUGAUCACGACUCACUUCUUAUGUACAAAUAAAAGUUUCUGUGAUGCCAAAAGUUCGAAUUUAAUGACUAUAGACAGCAUACAUUAUUCUAGUGCUCAGCUUUCCUUCUCAGAUUUACUUAAAUUAACUAGGAUAUAUUAAUCAUGCUUCAUUCAGAAUUGCUAAAAGUACUGUAUGCAUUAGCUUUCCAAAAUAGUCCUUAAAAUGUUCUCUUCGAAGUGUUUCUGUUGCUAAAUGUGAAUAAUUUCCAAAGAUUUUCCAGACCAGAUGGUGAGAUGAUAUAUAAAAAUUGAGUAUCUUUGCAAUGUGAUGAGGUCUACAAUACAGAAAGUUUCAGAGUCUCCAACUCCUUUUUCAAUUUAAAAAUUCCAGUGGAUGUCGUUAUUUUUAAAUUAUUGCCCUUACUCUUUGGCAAGUUUCUUGUCAACAUCUUUUGACGUAUUUUAUUAAAGUGCUGUCUUUGAAAUUAA